AAAGUAAAAUUUAUUAUAAGAGACGAAAUUCACUUAUUUCUACAAAAAUUGAAAUUAUUUUCAAAAGUUAUUAUAACAAAUUUAGGAAGACUCGUCAUAGUAAGUCCUCCCCAUAACUGUUAGUUCACCACUUUUGUCAAAAUUCCUAAUUUCACUCUUGUUUCAUUCAUCUCCUCAUUUUUUUUUUUUCACAAACAUUCUCUCAAGUAGUUGCCUCCACCAUUGAUAUAAUUGCCUCCACAUGUCGCAACGUUGUUGCUUCUCCACGUCAUCCUCUCUCCCAUACACCUUCUCCAACCCAACAUUUUUUCUCUGCAUAAACAAAUUUAUUAUUCUCUUUAUCUCUCUCCCAACCCACUAAUCCAUAAUACAUUCACACAACAAAUGCAACUGAGUUAUUUUGUUUUUCUGAACCAAAUCCUUCUAACCCAAAUGUUUUAUUCUUAAAUUUUCCUUCUUACAGAAGGUUUGUGACCCGUCGUUUCGGUGAUAUAUGAAAUACCAAUUUGGUUUUCCCUCUGUCAAUUUCACUUCUUCGAGCCAACUUUCUUUCUUGGAGCACUACUCCCUUUCUUCGUUUCCCAAUCCACUUGAGUCUGAAAAAAUUGUUUCUCCUUUGCUCGUUUGGUGGUGGUGAGGUGGCUUCGAGCUCGUUUGGUCGUCUGAGGAGGAUGUUGGAGUCUCUACACAAGGCUCAGUGGUGCGUUUCUGUCAUCUUUGUUAGGGGUUUAGUCUACGGUUGAGGGGUUUUCGUUGACGACUAUUCUAAGGUAAAGGCUUACUUGUUAUCUUUUGUUUUGUUGUCGAGGAGGUUGUCGUCGAGGUAGGGUGUCGACAAUCCCUACUGUGGAGAUUUUGUGCUAUGUGAGCGAGGUUUAUCUAAAGCAUCUUGGUGGAGGUUUUGUGUUGUGUUUCUUCUCCUACUGUCAAGGUUUUAGGGUUUCGAUCAGGGGCUGAGCACAAAACGUGUGGAAGGUUCCAACACAGUGGGUUAAAGUUGGUUGCAAAAGGGCUACACUCAAGUGUCCAACAGUUCAUCAUUUCCAAGUAGGUAAAGUUCAUCCUCUUGUGUUUGCCAUGUUCAUUGUGUUCUGUUAAUUGCCUUAUGAACAGAGAGUGAAUUAUAAUUGAAUUUGGAUUGUAAAGUUUGCAAUUUGAGCAAUUUGAGCAUGUAUGAAUUGCCUAUUUUGAUGAUAGCCUUGAUGGGAAAUAAAUUGUGCAAUUUGAGCAUGGAAACUAAUGUUGAUGUUGUUUUAGUUUGCUGCUAAUUGGUCUAUCUAAAAGACUAUAGCCUUAAUUGAUUAAUCCUCCCCCAAAAUAACCAUCCCCCGACUCUUUUCUGGCCACUGAUGGCCUGGACCGACCGGUCGUCCUGGAUUAUGGCGAUCGGCCUCAGACCGCUCGAUAACCACUCCUCACGUUCGUCCCCCAAAGGACUCGUCAUCUAACCUGCAACCCACCAACAUCUUGAGGUCUUGUACAGACUCGACCAUCGUCCCCUUCUGUUUGGAUGCUGCCAAACGCUCAACGUAGGUUUCAAACCUUAUCACUAGAGCUUCCUUCAAACCAUCCCAAGAACGAUUCUUGACUUUCUCCUUCCAAGCUCUGAACCAGUAACCCGCGCUCCCCUCCAUAGUGAAUUCUGCUAGGCGCACCCUUUCUCCCUCUACCACACCUUGCAACUUGAAGAACUUCUCUACCUUGGAUACCUACCCUAACAGAUCAAACCCUUCGAAAGUGGGUAGUUCUACCCUUUUCUUCCCGCAGGGUUGCACUUGGCGUUCAUCCCCUCUCUCCUUCAUCUUCCUCUCGUCGGUCCCAAUGUUGGCCUUCCUAGUUGUGGCCUCGACCACCCAACCUCCUUAUGAUUUCUCGCAAAUCUUGGCAUAUUGCUUUAUAAUCUUGGCAUAUUGUUGCAUAAUCUGGUUGCAGCGCUCCUUUCUGCGCCUUCAUUCUAUCAAUCGCAAUUUCCUUCACCCCCACACAAUUCCGACGACAUGUCUCGAUAUGGCAGUUUCUUGAAACGGCAGGUUCUGGAAUCUGGCGCCCCCACUUCGAAACGACAAUUUCUUGGUAACGUUUUUAUCCCUUCUUGAUUUUCUGACACUUGUCUCCUAAGGAUACUCGGCAACGCUCCUGAUGAUUUUGCAAUUUCUUGAUAAU
Molecule: long non-coding RNA, 2163 nt
Organism: Vigna radiata var. radiata (mung bean)
Lineage: Eukaryota; Viridiplantae; Streptophyta; Magnoliopsida; Fabales; Fabaceae
Exons: 3
Source: RefSeq, a predicted model, not a curated record